This 1141-nucleotide long non-coding RNA is filed under the name Monodelphis domestica (gray short-tailed opossum). RNAcentral describes it as "lncRNA (ENSMODG00000049053.1)". Lineage: Eukaryota; Metazoa; Chordata; Mammalia; Didelphimorphia; Didelphidae. The record is from RNAcentral.
GUGAUCAGAUCUCUGUCUCUGUCUGUGUGUCUCUCUCUUCUUUUCUCUGUCUCUCUGUCUUUGUCUUCUGUCUGUCUCUCUCUCUGCUCUCUUUCUUUCUCUUCUCUCUCUCCCCCUCCCUCCCCAUCUCUCCUUUCCCUCCUCUCUCUUUUCUCUCUCUCCUCCCUGUCUGUUUCUGUCUCCUCCUUUCUUCCCUCUCUUUCUAUUUUCUCUCUCUCUCUCCUCUCUCUCUGUCUCUGUCUCUCUCCUUAUUCUCUCUCCCCUCUCUGUCUUUCUCUUCUCUUUCUCCCUUCUCUCUCCUUUCCCUCCUCUCUCUUUUCUCUCUCUCCUCCCUGUCUGUUUCUGUCUCCUUCUCCUUUCUUCCCUCUCUUUCUAUUUUCUCUCUCUCUCUGUCUCUGUCUCUCUCCUUAUUCUCUCUCCCCUCUCUGCUUUUCUCUUCUCUUUAUCCCUUCUCUCUCCUUUCCCUCCUCUCUCUUUUCUCUCUCUCCUCCCUGUCUGUUUCUGUCUCCUUCUCCUUUCUUCCCUCUCUUUCUAUUUUCUCUCUCUCUCUCCUCUCUCUCUGUCUCUGUCUCUCUCCUUAUUCUCUCUCCCCUCUCUGCCUUUCUCUUCUCUUUCUCCCUUCUCUCUCCUUUCCCUCCUCUCUCUUUUCUCUCUCUCCUCCCUGUCUGUUUCUGUCUCCUUCUCCUUUCUUCCCUCUUUCUAUUUUCUCUCUCUCUCCUCUCUCUCUGUCUCUCUCCUUAUUCUCUCUCCCCUCUCUGUCUUUCUCUUCUCUUUCUCCCUUCUCUCUACUUUCCCUCCUCUCUCUUUCUCUCUCUCUGUUUCUGUCUCCCUCUCCUCCCUCCCCCUCUCUUUCUCUUCUCUCUCUUUUCUCUUUCUUUUUCUCUUUCCUCUCUGUCUGUCUGUCUCUCUAAUAGACAUAUUUGCACAUGUAUUGGAUUAACCAUAUAUACAUAACUUUAUGUAUAUGUGAAGAGAAAGAGAAGGAAGAAAGAAAAGAGAAAGAAGAGAGAGAAAUAGAGAUAGGGAGAAGAGAGGGAGGGAGGGAAGGAGAGAGAGAGAGAGAGAGAGAGAGAGAGAGAGAGAGAGAGAGAGAGAGAGAGAGAGAGAGAGAGAGAGCUAAUCUUAAAAAAAAAUUGGAAAG